Leopardus geoffroyi (Geoffroy's cat) is the source of this 1684-nucleotide long non-coding RNA. RefSeq lists it as uncharacterized. Lineage: Eukaryota; Metazoa; Chordata; Mammalia; Carnivora; Felidae. The transcript has 5 exons. The record is from RefSeq and is a predicted model, not a curated record.
AUGUAUUUGCAGAUAUAAUUUGUGUCCUGCAUUUAGUUAACUGGAUCAAAAACAUGUUUCUGUGUUGCUACGUAUGUGGCCAUCCUAGCUGGCUGGGUCCUUGUCCUUUGGGAGGACUGGAUGGCCCAGCCAGGACCUAGCCUCGGUGGCGAGGAUUGGCCAGUGCGGCAGGUGGGUCGAGGGUUCAGACAGGGCAGGAAUCCGAUUUAAUGUGGUCCAAAGUGGGGGCAGCGAGGUGGAUGCAGGCCAAGUAUACAGGGGGAAUCAUAGAGUGCAAGAGCAAAGAGGACAAGGACAAGAGUGAUGGAGUCACUGGAACAUGGAACCUGGAGUCAGGGACCGAAGUGAAGAGUGCCUGUGGUGUGAACAGGCCACUACAGCCAGGAGAGUCCCAGAUAAGUGUCCCAGCUCCGGCGGGGGGGGGGGGGGGGGGGGAUUGUCCUUUACAACGUUCUGGUUGGGGCAUGCCUUGUCUCCAAGACACGAUGUCAAGACUUAUUUUACAGACUGUGAGGAAUCCCAUUGGUAAAAGCUGGCGGUGUUUGCCUACGUGGGGCAUGCAGGAUGGGGACUUUAAAGCCAGCACAGGCUGAUACUUUAACCACUUUUCCCCCGUUGCCCAGGUUGCAGGCUGCCCUCCAGGCCUCCUGUGUAAGAAUUCCUCUGGGUUGUCAGCCACUCUGCCCUUUAUACUUCAUCUCUUCUGGCUUCACUCUGGUCUCUCCCCCAAAGAGGGUUUGAUAUUCAGGGUGUUUUCCUCUCCUUGCCCAGUCCCCUUGUGUGUGUGAGUCGUAGGCGUGGUCUGCCUGGCUUUGUGAUUCACUGAGUGAUGUAUAAGCUCAGGCUCCCGCCCAAGCGUUGGCCUGUGUGUGUGUCUACUGCGGGUGAUCAUUGAACUCGAGCAGAAUGUGCCCAUGCGCGGUGAAGACUGCCCUGCCCGGUACCCACCGGUCCUUCCCUAUGUGUCUAGAGAAGGAAGGUUGAUGGACUAGGCUUCCUCCGAGUCCCCCGUACCUGUAACGUGGAAGAUUGGUCCACCGGUGACGACUUGAUCCUUCGGCCGUGAAGACGUCUACCAACUAACUAACUCAUCUGACUGGUGACCGUGAAGUCCAGCCACCUGUUGCCAACGCUGCCAUGCCGAGCUGAGGAAACUGCGUGAAAACAGAGUCUGUCCAUGAAAGACAAGGCCACCUUAUUUUGUAAAAGCAAAACCUGGAUUCUAAGUCGGCCCCUGAAAGGGACUCUGCCCGUGGGGAUGGUGGAAACGUAAACCCCGCAGCCCCUCAUCUUCUCCCAGGUGAUGCCUCAGUCACACUGGCUCCAAGGACAUGCUCCUGCCCUUGAGUGCUCUAGGUCGGACGUGGUGCCACACUGCGCAUACUGGCACAAGCGACCCUCUCCUUUGCUCCGUCUCGGACCGUCUCCAGUGCGCAAGUCCCCGUUCUUUUCCGUUGGCUCCACGAUGACCCGUUGUAUGGCUGUCCCAUAAUGUAUUUAGCCUCUCUCCUGCCGAUAGGCAUUUGGGCCAUUUUUAUCUUUUUUUUUUCACUCCCAAAGUGCUUCAGUAAAAACAAUGAAUAACUUCCUGUGCACGUAUGUGAAGUAUGUAGGACAACUUUCUAGAAACUGCUGGGUCAAAGAAUAGGUGCACCUUGAGUGUAAAUACAUAUUGUCAAAUUUA